CCUACGGGCGGCUGCAGUGAGGAAUAUUGGUCAAUGGGCUUACGCCUGAACCAGCCAAGUCGCGUGAGGGAAGACUGCCCUAUGGGUUGUAAACCUCUUUUGUCAGGGAGCAAUUUGCGCUACGUGUAGCGUUAUCGAGAGUACCUGAAGAAAAGGCAUCGGCUAACUCCGUGCCAGCAGCCGCGGAAAUACGGAGGAUGCGAGCGUUAUCCGGAUUUAUUGGGUUUAAGGGGUGGGUAGCCGGAAGUCAAAGUCAGCGGGAAAGUCGCGGGGCGAAACGUAGCUCCGCAGUUGAUACUGGCGUCCUUGAGUGGGCGAGAGGUAGGCGGAAUGCGUGGUGUAGCGGUGAAAUGCAUAGAUAUCACGCAGAACUCCGAUUGCGAAGGCAGCAUGCCGGCGUCCAACUGACGCUGAAGCACGAAAGUGUGGGUAUCGAACAGGAUUAGAUACCCGAGUAGUC
This 460-nucleotide ribosomal RNA is filed under the name uncultured bacterium. RNAcentral describes it as "partial 16S ribosomal RNA". It matches the Rfam family "Bacterial small subunit ribosomal RNA", at positions 338 to 795 of the family's 1533-position model. The record is from RNAcentral.